RNAcentral lists this ribosomal RNA (430 nucleotides) under uncultured bacterium. Its description in RNAcentral is "bacterial SSU rRNA". It matches the Rfam family "Bacterial small subunit ribosomal RNA", at positions 354 to 796 of the family's 1533-position model. The record is from RNAcentral.
GUGGGGAAUAUUGCACAAUGGGCGAAAGCCUGAUGCAGCAACGCCGCGUGAGGGACGACGGCCUUCGGGUUGUAAACCUCUUUUAGUAGGGAAGAAGCGAAAGUGACGGUACCUGCAGAAAAAGCACCGGCUAACUACGUGCCAGCAGCCGCGGUAAUACGUAGGGUGCAAGCGUUAUCCGGAAUUAUUGGGCGUAAAGAGCUCGUAGGCGGUCUGUCGCGUCUGCUGUGAAAACUGGAGGCUCAACCUCCAGCCUGCAGUGGGUACGGGCAGACUAGAGUGCGGUAGGGGAGAUUGGAAGUCCUGGUGUAGCGGUGGAAUGCGCAGAUAUCAGGAGGAACACCGAUGGCGAAGGCAGAUCUCUGGGCCGUAACUGACGCUGAGGAGCGAAAGCGUGGGGAGCGAACAGGAUUAGAUACCCUGGUAGUCC